GCGCCCGUAGCUCAGCUGGAUAGAGCGUCUGGCUACGAACCAGAAGGUCCGGUGUUCGAAUCACCGCGGGCGCACCA
Molecule: transfer RNA, 77 nt
Filed under: Candidatus Acidiferrales bacterium
Lineage: Bacteria; Pseudomonadati; Acidobacteriota; Terriglobia; Candidatus Acidiferrales
Also listed under: 1 other name
Description: tRNA-Arg
Rfam family: tRNA
About the family: Transfer RNA (tRNA) molecules are approximately 80 nucleotides in length. Their secondary structure includes four short double-helical elements and three loops (D, anti-codon, and T loops).
Source: RNAcentral